AUGGUGAAGGGGAGGCGCGGCCGCUGCUGCUUGCGCCAGGGCCGAGGUCGGGGAGGCCGUCGGGCUCGUCGUCGCUGCUGCCGCGCGAGUCCCCGACGCCCCAGGCCCAUCGCCCCUUCCCCGCAUCCGCAGCCUGCGGCCGUCGACUGUAGAGCCGCCCCUCGGCUACCCCCUAGCCGUCGACGGCGGCGCCCAUUGCCGCUGCGCCACCACUGCCCCCGGCGGAGACAGAGCAAUCAGGCCGCGCGCAUCGCGGCUCCGACGGACGAGCGCUCCCCGCGAUCUGGAUUUAUCUUUGGGAGGGAGGGUUUUUUCAGAAAAAGACCAGCCUAA
Molecule: ribosomal RNA, 333 nt
Filed under: Triticum aestivum (bread wheat)
Lineage: Eukaryota; Viridiplantae; Streptophyta; Magnoliopsida; Poales; Poaceae
Description: partial small subunit ribosomal RNA
Source: RNAcentral